Molecule: ribosomal RNA, 497 nt
Filed under: uncultured bacterium
Lineage: Bacteria
Description: partial 16S ribosomal RNA
Rfam family: Bacterial small subunit ribosomal RNA
Source: RNAcentral
GAUGAACGCUGGCGGCGUGCCUAAUACAUGCAAGUCGAGCGAACGGACGAGAAGCUUGCUUCUCUGAUGUUAGCGGCGGACGGGUGAGUAACACGUGGAUAACCUACCUAUAAGACUGGGAUAACUUCGGGAAACCGGAGCUAAUACCGGAUAAUAUUUUGAACCGCAUGGUUCAAAAGUGAAAGACGGUCUUGCUGUCACUUAUAGAUGGAUCCGCGCUGCAUUAGCUAGUUGGUAAGGUAACGGCUUACCAAGGCAACGAUGCAUAGCCGACCUGAGAGGGUGAUCGGCCACACUGGAACUGGAACGGGGUCCAGACUCCUACGGGAGGCAGCAGUAGGGAAUCUGCCGCAAUGGGCGAAAGCCUGACGGAGCAACGCGGCGUGAGUGAUGAAGGUCUUCGGAUCGUAAAACUCUGUUAUUAGGGAAGAACAUAUGUGUAAGUAACUGUGCACAGCUUGACGGUACCUAAUCAGAAAGCCACGGCUAACUACGUG